UAAAUAUCAAGAUAUGAAAAUUUGGCCCAAAAUAAAAGCGGGAUUCUUUCCCCGGUUCUAUUUCAUUUUUUUAGUUAGCAUCACUACAUUAGAGCAUCAGAUGAUUUCCACCAAAACAUUUUGCCCAACCACUCGAAUUCAAUGAAUCAUCCAGAUUUCAUCAACUACCAGUACCCCAUAUUUACCUUUAACCAUUCAUCUUCCCCAAUUUUUGUCAUGAACCCUAGAUCUUAUCAUUAGACACGUCCCUCACUUUAUCUCUCAUCACUCAAUCUCUAUUUUUUUUGGACUCUCGUCUGUCGAUUCACCACUCUCUCACAUCUCAAAUUUUCUCUUACUUCUCAAUUUCUCUCUCACCUCUCAAUUUCUAGAUCGUACCCUUUGAAAACUAAAUCGCUCUACUUCAUAGUCUAAUCUCUCACAACCCUCGAACCCUUAUAAACCAGAAUUUGUCCUCUUGGUUCCCAGAUUUAUCAUUCGAAUUUCAGUGCAGAAUGUCAGAUCUAUCGACCUUCAACUCGAAAAUGGUUUAUAUCAACACCAACCCUCUAAUGGAGGCAACUUUUGCAGCAACAGCCGACAGGGAGAUGGUGUUUUGCAGACAUCUCGUUACUGUUAUUCAAGCUCGAAGUCCAUACCCAAGGAGGAUGUACGAUUCCGGGGAAGCCUAGUUUAGAUGAAGAUGAAGAUAAUGUUGGUUGAUGAACAAUUAAUUUUGUUAAUUUAAGUUUUUGUAUAAAUUUAAGUUUCUAGAUUUUAUUUUUUCUUUUGGUUUCUUGUACCAAAUUCAUUAUUAAUAAAAAUAUAGUUUAUUAUUUUUUCGAUGACAAUGUUGUUUAUUAAAUUAACAUUAAAUGCUAAAUACUUGAAAUUAGCAACUAUGUUUAGUUGCUAAUUU
Long non-coding RNA from Beta vulgaris subsp. vulgaris (sugar beet), 898 nucleotides. RefSeq lists it as uncharacterized. Lineage: Eukaryota; Viridiplantae; Streptophyta; Magnoliopsida; Caryophyllales; Amaranthaceae. The transcript has 2 exons. The record is from RefSeq and is a predicted model, not a curated record.